This 443-nucleotide ribosomal RNA is filed under the name uncultured bacterium. RNAcentral describes it as "partial 16S ribosomal RNA". It matches the Rfam family "Bacterial small subunit ribosomal RNA", at positions 338 to 795 of the family's 1533-position model. The record is from RNAcentral.
CCUACGGGGCGCAGCAGUGGGGGAUAUUGGACAAUGGGGGGAACCCUGAUCCAGCGACGCCGCGUGAGUGAAGAAGUAUUUCGGUAUGUAAAGCUCUGUCAGCAGGGACGAAAGAAAUGACGGUACUUGACAAAGAAGCCCCGGCUAACUACGUGACAGCAGCCGCGGUACUACGUAGGGGGCAAGCGUUAUCCGGAAUUACUGGGUGGAAAUGUAGCGUUGGCGGUUAAGUAAGUCUGUCGGGGAAGGCCGGGGCCCAACCCCGGAAAUGCACAGGAGACUACUGGACUAGAGUGCAGGAGAGGGAAGCGGAAUUCCUAGUGUAGCAGUGAAAUGCGUAGAUAUUAGGAAGAAAACCGGUGGCGAAGGCAGCCUGCUGGACGGUGACUGACGCUGAGGCUCGAAAGCGUGGGGAGCAAACAGGAUUAGAUACCCCAGUAGUC